AACGAACGCUGGCGGCAGGCUUAACACAUGCAAGUCGAACGCCCCGCAAGGGGAGUGGCAGACGGGUGAGUAACGCGUGGGAAUCUACCCAGAACUUCGGAACAACUGAGGGAAACUUCAGCUAAUACCGGAUACGCCCUACGGGGGAAAGAUUUAUCGGUUUUGGAUGAGCCCGCGUUGGAUUAGCUAGUUGGUGGGGUAAUGGCCUACCAAGGCGACGAUCCAUAGCUGGUCUGAGAGGAUGAUCAGCCACACUGGGACUGAGACACGGCCCAGACUCCUACGGGAGGCAGCAGUGGGGAAUAUUGGACAAUGGGCGAAAGCCUGAUCCAGCCAUGCCGCGUGAGUGAUGAAGGCCUUAGGGUUGUAAAGCUCUUUCAGUAGGGAAGAUAAUGACGGUACCUACAGAAGAAGCCCCGGCUAACUUCGUGCCAGCCGCCGCCGUAA
RNAcentral lists this ribosomal RNA (447 nucleotides) under uncultured bacterium. RNAcentral's name for it is "partial 16S ribosomal RNA". It matches the Rfam family "Bacterial small subunit ribosomal RNA", at positions 29 to 523 of the family's 1533-position model. The record is from RNAcentral.